AGCAGCGUGGCUCAGUGGAAAGAGCACGGGCUUGGGAGUCAGAGGUCAUGGGUUCUAAUCCCAGCUCUGCCG
Molecule: transfer RNA, 72 nt
Filed under: Ornithorhynchus anatinus (platypus)
Lineage: Eukaryota; Metazoa; Chordata; Mammalia; Monotremata; Ornithorhynchidae
Rfam family: tRNA
About the family: Transfer RNA (tRNA) molecules are approximately 80 nucleotides in length. Their secondary structure includes four short double-helical elements and three loops (D, anti-codon, and T loops). Further hydrogen bonds mediate the characteristic L-shaped molecular structure. tRNAs have two regions of fundamental functional importance: the anti-codon, which is responsible for specific mRNA codon recognition, and the 3' end, to which the tRNAs corresponding amino acid is attached (by aminoacyl-tRNA synthetases). tRNAs cope with the degeneracy of the genetic code in two manners: having more than one tRNA (with a specific anti-codon) for a particular amino acid; and 'wobble' base-pairing, i.e. permitting non-standard base-pairing at the 3rd anti-codon position.
Source: Rfam by way of RNAcentral